GACGAACGCUGGCGGCGUGCUUAACACAUGCAAGUCGAACGGUAAGGCCCUUCGGGGUACACGAGUGGCGAACGGGUGAGUAACACGUGGGUGAUCUGCCCUGCACUUCGGGAUAAGCCUGGGAAACUGGGUCUAAUACCGGAUAGGACCACUGCCUGCAUGGGUGGUGGUGGAAAGCUUUUGCGGUGUGGGAUGGGCCCGCGGCCUAUCAGCUUGUUGGUGGGGGUAUGGCCGACCAAGGCGACGACGGGUAGCCGGCCUGAGAGGGUGACCGGCAACACUGGGACUGUGAUACGGCCCAGACGCCUACGGGAUGCAGCAGUGGGGAAUAUUGCACAAUGGGCGCAAGCCUGAUGCAGCGACGCCGCGUGAGGGAUGACGGCCUUCGGGUUGUAAACCUCUUUCAGCACCGACGAAGCGCAAGUGACGGUAGGUGCAGAAGAAGGACCGGCCAACUACGUGCCAGCCGCCGCCGUAA
RNAcentral lists this ribosomal RNA (478 nucleotides) under uncultured bacterium. RNAcentral describes it as "partial 16S ribosomal RNA". It matches the Rfam family "Bacterial small subunit ribosomal RNA", at positions 28 to 523 of the family's 1533-position model. The record is from RNAcentral.